GGGGGCUAGCCGUGGUUGGAUUUACUGGGCGUAAAGCGCACGUAGGCGGGCUAAUAAGUCAAGGGUGAAAUCCCGGGGCUCAAUCCCUCGGAACUGCCUUUGAUACUGUUAGUCUUGAGUAUGGUAGAGGUGAGUGGAAUCCCGAGUGUUGAGGGGAAAUUCGUAGAUAUUCGGAGGAACACCAGUGGCGGAGGGGGCUCACUGGACCAUUACUGACGGUGAGGUGCGAAAGCGUGGGGAGCAAACAGAAUUAGAUAACCUGGUAGUCCACCCCGUAAACGAUGAAUGUUAGCCUUUGGGGAGUUUAUUCUUCGGUGGCGCAGCUAACGCAUUAAACAUUCCGCCUGGGGAGUACGGUCGCAAGAUUAAAAUUCAAAGGAAUUGACGGGGGCCCGCACAAGCGGUGGAGCAUGUGGUUUAAUUUGAAGCAACGCGCAGAACCUUACCAGCCCUUGACAUCCCGAUCGCGGUUAGUGGAGACACUAUCCUUCAGUUCGGCUGGAUCGGAGACAGGUGCUGCAUGGCCGUCGUCAGCUCGUGUCGUGAGAUGUUGGGUUAAGUCCCGCAACGAGCGCAACCCUCGCCCUUAGUUGCCAGCAUUCAGUUGGGCACUCUAAGGGGACUGCCGGUGAUAAGCCGAGAGGAAGGUGGGGAUGACGUCAAGUCCUCAUGGCCCUUACGGGCUGGGCUACACACGUGCUACAAUGGUGGUGACAGUGGGCAGCGAGCACGCGAGUGUGAGCUAAUCUCCAAAAGCCAUCUCAGUUCGGAUUGCACUCUGCAACUCGAGUGCAUGAAGUUGGAAUCGCUAGUAAUCGCGGAUCAGCAUGCCGCGGUGAAUACGUUCCCGGGCCUGGUACACACCAGCCGUCACCCCAC
This 879-nucleotide ribosomal RNA is filed under the name Brucella intermedia. RNAcentral's name for it is "bacterial SSU rRNA". It matches the Rfam family "Bacterial small subunit ribosomal RNA", at positions 530 to 1405 of the family's 1533-position model. Lineage: Bacteria; Pseudomonadati; Pseudomonadota; Alphaproteobacteria; Hyphomicrobiales; Brucellaceae. The record is from RNAcentral.